This 571-nucleotide ribosomal RNA is filed under the name Auricularia sp. er 2. RNAcentral's name for it is "eukaryotic LSU rRNA". The stretch from base 160 to 313 matches the Rfam family "5.8S ribosomal RNA". The record is from RNAcentral. Lineage: Eukaryota; Fungi; Basidiomycota; Agaricomycetes; Auriculariales; Auriculariaceae.
GACUGGAUCUAUCGCUUCGGUCUUAACUUCGGCUGUGCGCUCACGCUGCACGCCGAUUACCUCUCACACCUGUGCACCUUUUCCGUUGGAGUUUCGGCCGCUUCCGCUUUUAAAUACAACCACGAAAAGUCUAGAAUGUGACGAGAACUAUAAAGUAACAACUUUCAACAACGGAUCUCUUGGCUCUCGCAUCGAUGAAGAACGCAGCGAAAUGCGAUAAGUAAUGUGAAUUGCAGAAUUCAGUGAAUCAUCGAAUCUUUGAACGCACCUUGCGCUCCUUGGUAUUCCAUGGAGCAUGCCUGUUUGAGUGUCACGUAAACCCUCACCCCUGCGAUGUAACAGUCGCCUGCGGUGGACUUGGACCGUGCCGGUAAUCGGCUCGUCUUGAAAUGCAUUAGCUGGCGCUUUUAGAGUGCUGGGCGAACGGUGUGAUAAUUAUCUGCGCCGACUGCCCUGGGCCUCUUCAGCGGCGCUGCUUACAGCCGUCCCUUGCGGACAACUAUUUUAAAGCUUUGGCCUCAAAUCAGGUAGGACUACCCGCUGAACUUAAGCAUAUCAAUAAGCGGAGGAA